UAAGGAAUUUUCCGCAAUGGACGAAAGUCUGACGGAGCGACACCGCGUGAAGGAUGACGCCCCUCGGGGUGUAAACUUCUUUUCUGAUUGAAUAAGGUCUGAAGGUAAAUCAGGAAUAAGCAUCGGCUAACUACGUGCCAGCAGCCGCGGUAAUACGUAGGAUGCAAGCGUUAUCCGGAAUUAUUGGGCGUAAAGAGUCUGUAGGUGGCAUGUUAAGUCGGGCAUUAAAUUCCGGGGCUCAACCCCGGAGCAGUGUUCGAAACUGGCAAGCUAGAGUAUUACAGGGGUAGGUAGAAUUUCCGGUGUAGGGGUAAAAUCCGUAGAUAUCGGAAGGAAUACCAAAAGCGAAGGCAGCCUACUGGAGUAAUACUGACACUGAGAGACGAAAGCGUGGGUAGCA
RNAcentral lists this ribosomal RNA (400 nucleotides) under uncultured bacterium. RNAcentral's name for it is "bacterial SSU rRNA". It matches the Rfam family "Bacterial small subunit ribosomal RNA", at positions 355 to 770 of the family's 1533-position model. The record is from RNAcentral.